CCUACGGGAGGCAGCAGUGGGGAAUUUUGGACAAUGGGCGCAAGCCUGAUCCAGCCAUUCCGCGUGAGUGAAGAAGGCCUUCGGGUUGUAAAGCUCUUUUCGCAAGGGAAGAAACGAUACUGGUAAAUAAUCAGUGUUAAUGACGGUACCUUGAUAAGAAGCACCGGCUAACUACGUGCCAGCAGCCGCGGUAAUACGUAGGGUGCGAGCGUUAAUCGGAAUUACUGGGCGUAAAGCGUGCGCAGGCUGUUUUGAAGUCCAGAUGUGAAAUCCCCGAGCUCAACUUGGGAACUGCGUUUGAAACUACAAGACUAGAAUAUGUCAGAGGGGGGUAGAAUUCCACGUGUAGCAGCGAAAUGCGUAGAGAUGUGGAGGAAUAUCAAUGGCGAAGGCAGCCCCCUGGGAUAAUAUUGACGCUCAUGCACGAAAGCGUGGGGAGCAAACAGGAUUAGAUACCCUGGUAGUCCACGCCCUAAACGAUGUCAACUAGUUGUUGGUAGAGUAAAAUCUAUGAGUAACCGNAGNACGCGUGAGUAGACGCG
RNAcentral lists this ribosomal RNA (542 nucleotides) under uncultured bacterium. Its description in RNAcentral is "bacterial SSU rRNA". It matches the Rfam family "Bacterial small subunit ribosomal RNA", at positions 338 to 871 of the family's 1533-position model. The record is from RNAcentral.